This 1120-nucleotide long non-coding RNA is filed under the name Gallus gallus (chicken). Lineage: Eukaryota; Metazoa; Chordata; Aves; Galliformes; Phasianidae. The record is from RNAcentral.
GUUAUGGCGGAAGAUGUGUUUUGGCACCCUGCUGUUUCGAAUCCCCUGGAUCAUGGAGGCAUGGUUUCCAGAAUCAGAGUAGAUCUCACAACCUGGCAGCAUUUUAGCAAGAGUGAAGAGGGUGGAAUCAUUGGCUACAAAGCAAGAUGAGAACAACAAGGCUGCAUCUUUUCCAUGAAGAUCAGCCAGUUCUUUCUCCAAGUCGACAUGAAAUUUGCUUGUUCCUGAGAUAUUCCUUGUGCCUCCUGCUCCAGCACCAUGUUGUUUCAGUGUAUCCAUAACCGCUCCGCACACACGAGGGUGACGACUCAUGCCCAGGUAAUCAUUGCUGCACCACACAGACACCUCUUUCUUGGUGAUCAGGGAAUCAGAGUAGUCAUCUGCCAUGGGAAAGAUCUGCGCCUUUCGGUUCACCGUUUUGAACACUCGGUAGGUAUGAUCUUUCUUCUUUUCAUCUAUCUUUUUCUCAAAGAACUGGUCAUACUGGAAGGUGGAUACAGAUUUUGGCAAGUUAUCCUGAAGCAGAUGAGACACACUUUCGGGUCUUUGCUUCAGCAUAAUAUCCUUAAACUUCUUGAGCAAGCCACUCUGCUCUUCUCCCUCAGCCUCAGUGUUCCUCACCACGGAAUUAGUUGGUAUUUUGGCAAAUUCUUUACCUUUCCUGUCCACCUGCAUUUCCUUCACAUCCUCCUGCAGUUCCAAGCUGGCUUUGCAGAACACAUUGCUGCUCUUAUGGUUCAUCUGAGCUGCCAGGAAUGGGCAUUUUGUAGCAGAGCUCUGGACAGCAGCAGCAGGUGGGUGGCCAGCAGGAGGCUGUGACCCAUCUGUGUUCUGCUGGGCCACUUCUUUGGCUUUCUUGGCCUCCGGCUGGGCCGCAGGGGUCUCCUCUACCUGCUGCCCGCGGGCGGCGGAUGUGGCGAGGCCUCGGGCGGCGGCCGGCGGCGCCGCCUCCAUCAUUUUGGGACAGUGCUGGGCAUAAAAGAGCAGGGAAGGCCCGGCCUUCUGCAGGAAGGCCUGCGAGACGCGGGCCAGGAACGGGCAGCGCCGCACCACCGCCUCCAUCCUUCCUCCUGCCGCAGCUACCGCCGACCGGAAGUGACGUCACGCAGCUGUCACCCCC